CGGGGAUAUGCAGACUCCCCAUCAGACGGCUUCCGUCCAAGCUCUGC
RNAcentral lists this non-coding RNA (47 nucleotides) under unclassified sequences. Its description in RNAcentral is "chromate-resist RNA". It matches the Rfam family "chrB-b RNA". The record is from RNAcentral. RNAcentral also lists the same sequence under 1 other name.